RNAcentral lists this ribosomal RNA (254 nucleotides) under uncultured prokaryote. Its description in RNAcentral is "partial 16S ribosomal RNA". It matches the Rfam family "Bacterial small subunit ribosomal RNA", at positions 525 to 777 of the family's 1533-position model. The record is from RNAcentral.
ACAGAGGUGCCGAGCGUUAGGCGGAAUCACUGGGCUUAAAGCGCGUGUAGGCGGGUCGUUAAGUGUCCGCGUGAAAUCCCACGGCUCAACCGUGGAACUGCCGGGCAUACUGGCGACCUUGAGGCACUUAGGGGCGAGCGGAACAAAUGGUGGAGCGGUGAAAUGCGUAGAUAUGUGGAGGAAUACCGAUGGCGAAGGCAGCCCCCUGGGAUAACACUGGCGCUCAUGCACGAAAGCGUGGGGAGCAAACAGGA